GGGGGUGUCAAGGUUUCGACUUGGGAACAAAGCAUGGGUGGCAUGUAGAGGACAAUCGUUGGCCUCUAAAAAUAUCCGAUUAAAAAGAAAAGAUAACUCAGAAAUAGAGUUGGCAGCUGCGGCCUAACGGUCGUAACUACCCGGUAGGCUGAGAUCAGACCGAGAGUUUCAGAUCUCUACCGUCAUACAUCUUGGUGUGAACCCCUUUUUCUUGAAUGAUCUUGGGGGGAGUUCGAGACAAAAAGAAAAUUCAUUCGGCCCCGAGCGCUUCGCCUUUCGGCAAGGCUGGAUUAUUUUAAGGCGAUAAGCAUGUAGUCAUCGAUGUAGAGUUUGCUAAGGACGAGAGUUCGAUUCUCUCCACCUCCAAAU
RNAcentral lists this transfer-messenger RNA (369 nucleotides) under Chlamydiales (chlamydias). RNAcentral describes it as "O2-12-FULL-49-9 sp001794935 Standard tmRNA". It matches the Rfam family "transfer-messenger RNA". Rfam says of the family: Bacterial tmRNA, also known as 10Sa RNA or SsrA, is named for its dual tRNA and mRNA-like properties. RNAcentral also lists the same sequence under 1 other name. Lineage: Bacteria; Pseudomonadati; Chlamydiota; Chlamydiia. The record is from RNAcentral.